CGUGAAGGCAAAGAUCCAGGACAAGGAAGGCAUCCCCCCAGACCAGCAGCGUCUCAUCUUUGCCGGGAAGCAGCUUGAGGAUGGCCGCACCCUUGCCGACUACAACAUCCAGAAGGAGUCCACCCUUCACCUGGUGCUCCGCCUUCGUGGUGGUAUGCAGAUCUUCGUCAAGACCCUCACCGGCAAGACCAUCACCCUGGAGGUGGAGUCCUCUGACACCAUUGACAAUGUGAAGGCCAAGAUCCAGGACAAGGAGGGCAUCCCCCCGGACCAGCAGCGUCUCAUCUUCGCUGGCAAGCAGCUGGAGGAUGGCCGCACCCUUGCUGACUACAACAUCCAGAAGGAGUCCACCCUUCACCUGGUGCUCCGCCUGCGUGGUGGCAUGCAGAUCUUUGUCAAGACCCUCACCGGCAAGACCAUCACCCUGGAGGUUGAGUCCUCUGACACCAUUGACAACGUGAAGGCCAAGAUCCAGGACAAGGAGGGCAUCCCCCCGGAUCAGCAGCGUCUGAUCUUUGCUGGCAAGCAGCUGGAGGAUGGCCGCACCCUUGCUGACUACAACAUCCAGAAGGAGUCCACCCUUCACCUGGUGCUGCGUCUUCGUGGUGGUAUGCAGAUCUUCGUCAAGACCCUCACCGGCAAGACCAUCACCCUGGAGGUGGAGUCCUCUGACACCAUUGACAAUGUGAAGGCAAAGAUCCAGGACAAGGAGGGCAUUCCCCCGGACCAGCAGCGUCUCAUCUUUGCUGGUAAGCAGCUGGAGGAUGGCCGCACCCUUGCAGACUACAACAUCCAGAAGGAAUCCACUCUCCACCUGGUGCUCCGUCUCCGUGGUGGCCAGUAAGUCCUGGGCCAUGAGCAGCCGUCCUUCCAGGGUUCACAUGUCUGGUGCCUUCCUCUGUCCCUCUGAUGGAGAUUAU
This 920-nucleotide long non-coding RNA is filed under the name Sorghum bicolor (sorghum). RNAcentral describes it as "long non-coding RNA (SBIC_LNC018348)". Lineage: Eukaryota; Viridiplantae; Streptophyta; Magnoliopsida; Poales; Poaceae. The record is from RNAcentral.